This 2068-nucleotide long non-coding RNA is filed under the name Mus musculus (house mouse). RNAcentral's name for it is "RIKEN cDNA 4921504A21 gene, transcript variant 2 (4921504A21Rik)". The record is from RNAcentral. Lineage: Eukaryota; Metazoa; Chordata; Mammalia; Rodentia; Muridae.
AGCCGGGAAGGAGGGGAGCGGAGGCCCGACAUGGGCAGGCCGGUGAAGAGAGCCGGGAUCCCUGGGUGGACCUGUCUUCAGCUUCCCUGUGAGCCGGGCUGCUAGCCUGCAGGACGCCCCGACUUGCCCACACCCCAACACUGGACAAAGCAGAAAUCCGGGGAACCCGAUGCCGAGCCUGGUGGCCCAUCUACAGCACAGUCUUCUGGGGCUCCAUCCUGCCACAAGGAAGCUGGAGUUCGGGGUCCCAGCAUGGAACUGCAGAGGGCCUGGCAGGCGGAGCCCGUGGAGAGACUUCACUAUUGGCUCGCUCCACUUUUUACAGUCUUUCAUUCCUCGCAAAGUUCUCAGAAGUGCCCCUCCGAUAGAGGAAAGUUAGAGGAAGGAGUCUGGUCGUCCUGGAUGCAAGAAUAAGGUUAGAGAGGUUGAGUUAAUGUUUGAGGCAUCAUUCCUUACAUGCUCCAGAGCACAGAUUCUUAACUUGCAAUCUGAGGACUUUUCAACGACAAGGUAUGGCCUACUACCUUCCUUUCUGUAUGAUCUGGGCAAACCGACCGGUGGUGGCAAGAGUAGUGUCAAUGAAGUGAUCCACACAGCAAGAGAGGCAGUUUCAGUGCGGGAGUCUAGCUGAUUUCCUGGCUUCUCCAUGCACUUAUCUCAACAUAGUUCCACGAAGUGAUGCACCUGCGCAGUGAACCCUGCCUUCUGCUGCUCGACAGCCACCAGGCUUUGUAACUCAGUUUCACCAAGCUCUGCCAUUGUCAGCGUCAAGAGCUUCGCUGUGGUACGCAUGCGUGGUCCUGAAAGCAACUUUUGCACUUUAUCAUCAACUCUAAGAUACUCAGGGGCUUCUAUCAAUGAUGAGACACAUCUGCAGAAACCCAUACUCCUUCCAUAGGAUCACACGAUCCUUGUCCAAGGGCGAACACACAGAACAUUGUUCAAACCAUACCAAUCCUGACCGGAGAGAACAGAGACAAACUGACUCACAGGAGAGAGGACCUAAGUACUUUAAUACAUUUUUUGAAAUUAUUAUAAAUUAUUUUACAAUAUCCAGAGCAAAUGAAACUAAUUUAAAAUAUUUUGUAAUACACAAGUCCCCAGAAAUACUUUGUGAAGUUAAAAAUAAAAUUUAAAAAAAUGGUCUUGCCAAAUUUCACUACAAAUCAUGAAUGCUAUUUCAAAAAUAAGAAAACAACAACAGCAGCAGCAAAAACAACAACUAAAACAAAAACAACAAAGAAAUAGAAGAUAUGAGGAUGUUUUCAAAAUUAAACCUUUAGAGAUAAUUGUCUUGGCACAGCUGCAGUUCCAGUUCUGAAGGCUAAUGCAGGAGUUUGAUGAAUUUCAGGGCAACUACGGCUGUGAUGACAGUAUACAAAGAUGAAACACAAUAAAAAUACACAUGAAUGAAACUAAGGCUCUAUAAUACUAAUAUUAGAAGAUAAACACAAAAUUUAUCUUUCCAUUCUUCUUUCUGUGGUGAUAAGAUGGGAAGUGAGCAGUGAUUUUAAUUAUGUUUACUUUUUAUUUGUUUAUUUUAUUUAUUUACAUUUCAAAUGUUAUUCCCCUUCCAAGUUUCCCCUCUGCAACCCACCUGUCCCAUUCCCUGUCCCCCUGCUCUAAGAGGGUGCUUCCUCACCCAUCCACUCCCUCCUCACCCCUCUCAUAUCCUCCCACCCCCCCCAUGCUUGGGCAUCUAUCCUCCACAGAACCAAGCCCCACCCACCCACCAAUUGAUGACCAACAAGGCCAUCCUCUGCUACAUCUGCAGCUGGAGCCUGGGUCCCUCCAUGUGUAUUCUUUGGUUGGUGGUUUAGUCUCAGGGAGAUCUUGUGGUGGGGGGAUCUGGUUGGUUAAUAGUUGUUCUUCCUAUGGGGUUGCAAACCCCUUCAGCUUCUUCAGUCCUUCCUCUAUCUCCUCCAUUGGAGUCCCAUGCCCAGUCAGAUAGUUGGCUGCAAGAAUCCACAUUUUGUUAUUCAAGUAUUCCUUAACUAUGGCAUUGACAAAGAAACCCAGAGAAGUUCACACAAUGCCAUUUUCCUAAUGGUCAAAAUCAAUUAAAACU